Molecule: long non-coding RNA, 121 nt
Filed under: Sus scrofa (pig)
Lineage: Eukaryota; Metazoa; Chordata; Mammalia; Artiodactyla; Suidae
Description: lncRNA (ENSSSCG00050020407.1)
Source: RNAcentral
GAGGAGAAAGGCUUCUUGUUACUCAUAUUAACAUUAUUGCUUCUAUGUUUCAAUAGAUUAUCUUCUCACUAUUUUGCCACAUAGAUGAGUUGGUUCUUUUAAACUGCUCAUAGGUAGCUCG